RNAcentral lists this RNase P RNA (375 nucleotides) under Mariprofundus sp. RNAcentral describes it as "RNase P RNA component class A". It matches the Rfam family "Bacterial RNase P class A". Rfam says of the family: Ribonuclease P (RNase P) is a ubiquitous endoribonuclease, found in archaea, bacteria and eukarya as well as chloroplasts and mitochondria. Its best characterised activity is the generation of mature 5'-ends of tRNAs by cleaving the 5'-leader elements of precursor-tRNAs. The record is from RNAcentral. Lineage: Bacteria; Pseudomonadati; Pseudomonadota; Candidatius Mariprofundia; Mariprofundales; Mariprofundaceae.
GGAGUGGCCCGGAUGGUCGCGGCAGUGGAGUUUACUCCCUGUCGAGGAAAGUCCGGGCUGCACAGGGCAGAACGCCGGAUAACGUCCGGCGGGGGUGACCCCGGGAACGUGCCACAGAAAACAGACCGCCACAGUUUGCCGAGAUGCACUGUGGUAAGGGUGAAACGGUGCGGUAAGAGCGCACCGCCCCGGCCGGUAACGGACGGGGGCACGGUAAACCCCGUUCGCAGCAAGGCCAAAUAGGGAAGCGCCAAGCGUGGCCCGCGUUUGCUUCCGGGUAGGCUGCUCGAGCCUGUCAGUAAUGGCAGGCCCAGAUGAAUGACCAUCACCCUGCCUGGCAGGGGACAGAACCCGGCUUACAGGGCCACUCCGUAU